CGCUCGGUGCUCCGACCUCGUCCCUGGGGAGGCUGCCCCAGCGCCCGACACCUCUGGGUGCAGACCCUGACACCCAGCCCGCCCCUGCCCUGUCCCAGCCCCGUGCCUCCACCUCGCAACGCCCGCCCUCAUCCCGCACACGCCGCUGGACGCCGGCCGGCCGGGGGCACGUUCCACCUUCACAACCUCCCCUCCUGCAUUUCCAGUGAGGAAAACCCAAGGCGCCGAGCCAAACCCUGCACCUCCCGAAGCAGAGGAGGGUCGGCACCCCCACAGUGGGGCCAGCCCCUGCGCCUCUCCUCAGCCACACCGCCCCCGGACCCUCCCCUCAGCGCCGCGACAUGGCGGACGCCGGGCCCCGGCCCUGCCCGCUCCGGGGCGGUGCCGAGGGCGGUGCUGGAGCCUCAGCGGCGCGGGAAGAGCGGAGCCGAGGUUGUGGCGACUGGGACAUCGCCAUCAGGAGCCCAUCGGAGAGGUCCGGAGGGGAUUUGGGUGCUGGGUGUAGGGGAAGUCGGGGGUUGGGGUAGGGACGCUGAGGGGACGAGGGGUUGGGGACGGAGAGGUGCGGGGACAAAGGGGUGGGGAGGAGGUGUGGGGACAAUUUGGGGAGGGAGAGGUGUGGGGGCGAGCUUUUGGGGAAGUGGAAGGCUUGGGGAGGGGGUGUUUGGGGAAGUGAAAGUUUUUAGGAGGGCGAGGGACCAAAGGUUAACGGGGAGCGCCACAGAGCGGUGUGCGGGGCAGCACGGUGGGCCCUGGGGUUUGGGAAGGGGAACUGGGUGGUGGGGGGCUUCCUACAGGGUCUGGGCUUCAAGUCCUGGCCUCUCCUCUGAGAGGUGCUUGGUCUCAGCACUCUUCACAGCACACCCUGCCUCGCACAGGAGCCAUGUCUACACGCAACCUCUUCACCCUCGUCCUGGUGGUGCAACCGUCUCGCAUCCUCCUGGGCAUGAAGAAACGCGGGUUCGGAGCCGGGCUCUGGAACGGUUUUGGGGGAAAGGUGCAGACAGGAGAGAGCAUCGAGGAGGCUGCUCACAGGGAACUCAAGGAAGAGAGCGGACUAACAGUGGACACCUUGCAGAAGAUGGGCCAGAUCACAUUUGA
Molecule: long non-coding RNA, 1101 nt
Filed under: Anas platyrhynchos (mallard)
Lineage: Eukaryota; Metazoa; Chordata; Aves; Anseriformes; Anatidae
Description: lncRNA (ENSAPLG00020013832.1)
Source: RNAcentral